Molecule: long non-coding RNA, 1776 nt
Organism: Leptidea sinapis
Lineage: Eukaryota; Metazoa; Arthropoda; Insecta; Lepidoptera; Pieridae
Exons: 2
Source: RefSeq, a predicted model, not a curated record
CGACCCGAAAAGGUAGGUAUCGUCGGUAACUUUAGGUUUACCCUACCUGCCAUAAGUUCAGUACCAGAUACAGAGUCGGCCGACCCAGGGUGGUCCUUGCCCGGCUGCGCAGCGGUAAACCUGUUCACCAAUUCUCGCACGCUGCCAACUGUCGAGAAGUACUCAAUUUCAAACUUCUCACGAUACUGAUACUCCUUUUCACACUCAAUUUCUGAAAUAUUUGGAAAACUUUCUAUUUCAAUCUGUAAAACAUCAUAUUCACCAUACCACUCUUCUAUUUUAGAUAAUCUAAGGUUUAGAUCACUGAUUUAUGAUUUACUUGGCUUUUCACAAGUAGUUAUGGUCUCUAAGGCUAAGGACUCACGAAGCGGUUUUCACCCGUGCCCGCCGUGGUGGCGGAAUGGAGUUUUAUUUUCAAAACUCAUGAGACCGGAGUUUUGUGCGGUUACGCAGCCGUCGCGGUUGCGAUUAUCGCUCGCAAACGUGAUGGUUGAUAAUCGCAAGACGGGCGGUUAAACGAUCAGUUUAGUUCCAGACCGUCAUGGACACACACCAGAAACGAGCUGUUGCGUUAUACUUCCUUCACAGAAGAAUUAAAAAAAGAAGGCCUAAAAGGUUCUGGACACAUCCACUGAUUGCGGAAAGAGAUCGUUAUGGAUUAUUUGUUAUUCUUAUUAAUUACUUAAAGAAGGAUGAAGAAAAGUUCUUUAAUUAUUUUCGAAUGUCUGUAUGUAGUUAUUUAGAAUUUUUAAGAAAAACAGAAACUGCUCUUCAAAAACAACAUACUAAUAUGCGAGAUCCCAUAUCACCAGAGGAAAUGUUGGCAGUGACAUUAAGAUAUAUACCUAGCAAGUGGGACUUCAAUGCACGAUUUGCACUACACAUUCAGAAUUGGGCACACAACUAUAUCAACAAUUAUAAGAAUGACAUGUGAAAAAUUAUGGGAGGUGUUAAUGUUUGAAUGUUUUCCGGUAAUCACUACAGAACUUUUAGAAGAAAUCAGCCAAAAAUUUUACAAGUACGCAAAUUUUCCUAACUGUGUCGGAGCAAUAGACGGCAAACAUAUAAGAAUAAUUAAACCAGAUAACAGUGCUUCAACUUACUACAAUUAUAAGAUUUUUUUUUCAUUUGUGUUAAUGGCCGUAGUUUUUUUUUAUGCGGAUUACUGAUUUGUUUUUGUAGGCAUUGGAGUCCCGGGAAGUAAUGCUGAUUCAAUCAUUUUUUUAAAUACUACUCUUUGGAAUGCGUUUAAUAGCAAUUCUAUCAAACUACCUAAUAAAAAAUACUACCCGGAUCUACUUUGCCACCUGUCCCAUAUGUAUUCGUAGCCGAUGAGGCGUUUGGGUUGCAUCAAAAUAUUAUGAGACCUUAUGGUGGUCAAUUUUUGAGUGUACAAAAAAGGGUAUUUAAUUAUCGCCUAUCUAGAGCACGAAGAUACGUGAAUGUGCAUUUGGCAUUUUGUCAAACAAAUGGCGAAUUUUAAAUCGUGCAUUGGAUGUAUCAAUACCUUUAUCAAUUAAUAUUGUGAAGGCAUGUUGCAUACUUCACAAUUUUGUACGAAAACGAGACGGCCAUCAUAUUAGAGAAGAAGAUUUUACUCAUAAUCUUGAGAGUAUACAAAUACCUCCAUCAAUACGCAGUGGAAGACAAGCCAAUAACAUUAGAGAUGUUUUUCAACAAUAUUUUAUGAGUGACAGCGGAGCCUUAAGCUGGCAAUUGUCACAUAUUUAAUAAAGUUAAUUAUUGUACCUUAAAAAUAAACUCAUAUAAUACUUA